UUUAUUACCCAGUGUACAUAGCUUUAGAAUUAAUUUUCAAUUGUAAACACAAACCUGAAAACUAUCACUCAAUUUCAGAGUGAACAGCAUUUGAUUGUGUAGCCCCAAGAUAGAAAAAGUUAUCAAGAAAUGGACAGACGUUAAGACGCACAACAACCAUGUGUGAAUGAUGAGAUCUCGUCCAUCACAUCAGUUGAAUUAAAGUUGGAAAUUCGCGAAACAGUGCAUGUGAGGCCCAGACAGAUGAGCCUGUAAGAAAAAAAAGAU
Molecule: long non-coding RNA, 267 nt
Organism: Dreissena polymorpha
Lineage: Eukaryota; Metazoa; Mollusca; Bivalvia; Myida; Dreissenidae
Exons: 3
Source: RefSeq, a predicted model, not a curated record